UACGUAGGGGGCAAGCGUUGUCCGGAAUCAUUGGGCGUAAAGAGCGCGUAGGCGGCCCUGUAAGUCCGCUGUGAAAGUCAAGGGCUCAACCCUUGGAUGCCGGUGGAUACUGCAGGGCUAGAGUCCGGAAGAGGCGAGUGGAAUUCCUGGUGUAGCGGUGAAAUGCGCAGAUAUCAGGAGGAACACCGAUGGCGAAGGCAGCUCGCUGGGACGGUACUGACGCUGAGGCGCGAAGGCCAGGGGAGCAAACGGG
Molecule: ribosomal RNA, 253 nt
Filed under: uncultured bacterium
Lineage: Bacteria
Description: partial 16S ribosomal RNA
Rfam family: Bacterial small subunit ribosomal RNA
Source: RNAcentral